CUUUAGUUUGACCCCCCGAAACCAGGUGAGCUACCCCGAGACAGCCUAAAUAACUUAGGGCUAACCCGUCUCUGUGGCAAAAGAGUGGGAGGAGCUCCGGGUAGAAGUGACAGACCUACCGAACCUGGUGAUAGCUGGUUGCCUGAGAAGUGGAUAGAAGUUCAGCCCCAUGCACCCCGAACCAAGGACAUUCUACCUUAAGGUUUUAGGGAUAAACACGGGAGUUAGUUAAAGGGGGUACAGCCCCUAUAACAAAGGACACAACCUUCACAGGAGAAUAAAGAUCACAAUGUACAAGACACCCUGUUCUAGUGGGCCUAAAAGCAGCCACCUAAGCAGAAAGCGUUAAAGCUCAGACAGAAGAAAGUUUAUUAUACUGAUAAAAAAUCUUACUUCCCUAACAAUAUCAGGCUAAUCCAUGCCAACAUGGAAGAAAUUAUGCUAAAAUGAGUAACAAGAAGACCCGCUCUUCUCCAAGCACAAGUGUAAACCAGAUCGGACAAACCACCGGAAAUUAACGAACCCAAACAAAGAGGGCAGUGUGAACAACAAAGAAAUCAGGAAAAUCCCACAACUAGGCCAUCGUUAACCCCACACUGGAGUGCUAUUUAUAAAGGAAAGACUAAAAGAAAGGGAAGGAACUCGGCAAACACAAGCCUCGCCUGUUUACCAAAAACAUCGCCUCCUGCAACUAUAUUAGGUAUAGGAGGUCCAGCCUGCCCAGUGACUACGGGUUCAACGGCCGCGGUAUUUUGACCGUGCAAAGGUAGCGCAAUCACUUGUCUUUUAAAUAGAGACCUGUAUGAAUGGCUAAACGAGGGCUUAACUGUCUCCCCCUUCUGGUCAGUGAAAUUGAUCUACCCGUGCAGAAGCGGGUGUAACACCACAAGACGAGAAGACCCUUUGGAGCUUAAGGUACAAGAUUCAACCACGUCAAGCGACUUAAUAAGAAGCAGGAACUUAGUGGGAAGUGAAGCUUUACCUUCGGUUGGGGCGACCGCGGAGGAAAAACCAGCCUCCGAGUGGAAUGGGCCAAGUCCCUAAAGCUAAGAGAGACAUCUCUAAGCCACAGAACAUCUGACCAUAAAUGAUCCGGCCCAAGCAGCCGAUCAACGAACCAAGUUACCCUAGGGAUAACAGCGCAAUCCUCUCCCAGAGUCCAUAUCGACGAGGGGGUUUACGACCUCGAUGUUGGAUCAGGACAUCCUAAUGGUGCAGCCG
RNAcentral lists this ribosomal RNA (1221 nucleotides) under Squalidus gracilis gracilis. RNAcentral describes it as "partial 16S ribosomal RNA". It matches the Rfam family "Bacterial large subunit ribosomal RNA", at positions 700 to 2561 of the family's 2925-position model. Lineage: Eukaryota; Metazoa; Chordata; Actinopteri; Cypriniformes; Gobionidae. The record is from RNAcentral.